UCAAACAAACCAAAUGGCGUGGUGAUCGC
This 29-nucleotide non-coding RNA is filed under the name Bombyx mori (domestic silkworm). The record is from RNAcentral. Lineage: Eukaryota; Metazoa; Arthropoda; Insecta; Lepidoptera; Bombycidae.